ACUCCUACGGGAGGCAGCAGUAGGGAAUCUUCGGCAAUGGGGGCAACCCUGACCGAGCAACGCCGCGUGAGUGAAGAAGGUUUUCGGAUCGUAAAGCUCUGUUGUAAGUCAAGAACGAGUGUGAGAGUGGAAAGUUCACACUGUGACGGUAGCUUACCAGAAAGGGACGGCUAACUACGUGCCAGCAGCCGCGGUAAUACGUAGGUCCCGAGCGUUGUCCGGAUUUAUUGGGCGUAAAGCGAGCGCAGGCGGUUUGAUAAGUCUGAAGUUAAAGGCUGUGGCUCAACCAUAGUUCGCUUUGGAAACUGUCAAACUUGAGUGCAGAAGGGGAGAGUGGAAUUCCAUGUGUAGCGGUGAAAUGCGUAGAUAUAUGGAGGAACACCGGUGGCGAAAGCGGCUCUCUGGUCUGUAACUGACGCUGAGGCUCGAAAGCGUGGGGAGCGAACAGGAUUAGAAACCCUGGUAGUCCCAU
This 472-nucleotide ribosomal RNA is filed under the name uncultured organism. RNAcentral describes it as "partial 16S ribosomal RNA". It matches the Rfam family "Bacterial small subunit ribosomal RNA", at positions 335 to 798 of the family's 1533-position model. The record is from RNAcentral.